CAAGUAAUUAAGUGCAUGUGGUGGAUGCCUUGGCAGUCAGAGGCGAUGAAAGACGUGAUAGCCUGCGAAAAGCUCCGGGGAGGCGGCAAAUAUCCUUUGAUCCGGAGAUGUCUGAAUGGGGGAACCCACCUACUUUAAGGUAGGUAUUGCAACAUGAAUACAUAGUGUUGCAAGGCGAACGAGGGGAAGUGAAACAUCUCAGUACCCUUAGGAAAAGAAAUCAAUUGAGAUUCCCUCAGUAGCGGCGAGCGAACGGGGAUCAGCCCAUUAAGUUAUGUGUGUUUUAGUGGAACGCUCUGGGAAGUGCGAACGUAGAGGGUGAUAUUCCCGUACACGAAAGGGCACACAUAAUGAUGACGAGUAGGGCGAGGCACGUGAAACCUUGUCUGAAUAUGGGGGACCAUCCUCCAAGGCUAAAUACUCCUGACUGACCGAUAGUGAACCAGUACCGUGAGGGAAAGGCGAAAAGAACCCCUGUGAGGGGAGUGAAAUAGAUCCUGAAACCGCAUGCAUACAAGCAGUGGGAGCACCUUCGUGGUGUGACUGCGUACCUUUUGUAUAAUGGGUCAGCGACUUAUAUUCAGUAGCGAGGUUAACCGUAUAGGGGAGCCGUAGAGAAAUCGAGUCUUAAUAGGGCGUUUAGUUGCUGGGUAUAGACCCGAAACCAGGCGAUCUAUCCAUGAGCAGGUUGAAGGUUGGGUAACACUAACUGGAGGACCGAACCCACUGUCGUUGAAAAGCCAGGGGAUGACUUGUGGAUAGGGGUGAAAGGCUAAUCAAGCCUGGUGAUAGCUGGUUCUCCCCGAAAGCUAUUUAGGUAGCGCCUCGGACGAAUACCAUAGGGGGUAGAGCACUGUUUCGGCUAGGGGGUCAUCCCGACUUACCAAACCGAUGCAAACUCCGAAUACCUAUGAGUACUAUCCGGGAGACAGACUGCGGGUGCUAACGUCCGUAGUCAAGAGGAAAACAAUCCAGACCGCCAGCUAAGGCCCAAAAUCAUAGUUAAGUGGGAAACGAUGUGGGAAGGCAUAGACAGCUAGGAGGUUGGCUUAGAAGCAGCCACCCUUUAAAGAAAGCGUAAUAGCUCACUAGUCGAGUCGGCCUGCGCGGAAGAUGUAACGGGGCUAAAACUAUGUGCCGAAGCUGCGGAUGUAUACUUUGUAUACGUGGUAGGGGAGCGUUCUGUAAGCCGAUGAAGGUGUGUUGAGAAGCAUGCUGGAGGUAUCAGAAGUGCGAAUGCUGACGUGAGUAACGACAAAACGGGUGAAAAACCCGUUCGCCGAAAGACCAAGGGUUCCAGUCCAACGUUAAUCGGGGCUGGGUGAGUCGACCCCUAAGGCGAGGCCGAAAGGCGUAGUCGAUGGGAAAAUGGUUAAUAUUCCAUUACUUCUGUGUAAUGCGAUGAGAGGACGGAGAAGGCUAAAUCAGCCUGGCGUUGGUUGUCCAGGUGAAAGGAUGUAGGCAUGUAUCUUAGGCAAAUCCGGGGUACUCUAUGCUGAGAUCUGAUAGCAAGCUGUACUUGUACAGCGAAGUGGUUGAUGCCAUGCUUCCAGGAAAAGUCUCUAAGCUUCAGUUACACAGGAAUCGUACCCGAAACCGACACAGGUGGUCAGGUCGAGUAGACCAAGGCGCUUGAGAGAACUCUGCUGAAGGAACUAGGCAAAAUGGUACCGUAACUUCGGGAGAAGGUACGCUGUUGUUGGUGAUGGAACUCGCUUCCUGAGCUGACGACAGCCGCAGAAACCAGGCCGCUGCAACUGUUUAUUAAAAACAUAGCACUCUGCAAACACGAAAGUGGACGUAUAGGGUGUGAUGCCUGCCCGGUGCUGGAAGGUUAAUUGAUGGGGUUAGCGUAAGCGAAGCUCUUGAUCGAAGCCCCAGUAAACGGCGGCCGUAACUAUAACGGUCCUAAGGUAGCGAAAUUCCUUGUCGGGUAAGUUCCGACCUGCACGAAUGGCAUAAUGAUGGCGGCGCUGUCUCCAGCAGAGGCUCAGUGAAAUCGAAAUCGCUGUGAAGAUGCAGUGUACCCGCGGCUAGACGGAAAGACCCCGUGAACCUUUACUGCAGCUUGACACUGAACUUUGACCUUACUUGUGUAGGAUAGGUGGGAGGCUUUGAAGCUGGAACGCUAGUUCCAGUGGAGCCGUCCUUGAAAUACCACCCUGGUAAUGUUGAGGUUCUAACUCUGUCCCGUGAUCCGGGACGAGGACCGUGUCUGGUGGGUAGUUUGACUGGGGCGGUCUCCUCCUAAAGAGUAACGGAGGAGUACGAAGGUGCGCUCAGCGUGGUCGGAAAUCACGCGUAGAGUAUAAAGGCAAAAGCGCGCUUAACUGCGAGACCCACAAGUCGAGCAGGUACGAAAGUAGGUCUUAGUGAUCCGGUGGUUCUGUAUGGAAGGGCCAUCGCUCAACGGAUAAAAGGUACUCUGGGGAUAACAGGCUGAUACCGCCCAAGAGUUCAUAUCGACGGCGGUGUUUGGCACCUCGAUGUCGGCUCAUCUCAUCCUGGGGCUGAAGCAGGUCCCAAGGGUAUGGCUGUUCGCCAUUUAAAGAGGUACGCGAGCUGGGUUUAGAACGUCGUGAGACAGUUCGGUCCCUAUCUACCGUGGGCGCUGGAAAUUUGAGAGGAUCUGCUCCUAGUACGAGAGGACCAGAGUGGACGAACCUCUGGUGUACCGGUUGUGACGCCAGUCGCAUCGCCGGGUAGCUAUGUUCGGAAGGGAUAACCGCUGAAAGCAUCUAAGCGGGAAGCCUACCUCAAGAUAAGAUUUCCCUAGGACUUUAUGUCCUCUAAAGAGCCGUUCGAGACUAGGACGUUGAUAGGUUGGAUGUGGAAGCAUAGUGAUAUGUGAAGCUGACCAAUACUAAUUGCUCGUGAGGCUUGACUA
RNAcentral lists this ribosomal RNA (2887 nucleotides) under Acinetobacter baumannii 1457504. RNAcentral's name for it is "bacterial LSU rRNA". It matches the Rfam family "Bacterial large subunit ribosomal RNA". Lineage: Bacteria; Pseudomonadati; Pseudomonadota; Gammaproteobacteria; Moraxellales; Moraxellaceae. The record is from RNAcentral.